This 345-nucleotide unclassified non-coding RNA is filed under the name soil metagenome. RNAcentral's name for it is "partial contains 5.8S ribosomal RNA, internal transcribed spacer 2, and large subunit ribosomal RNA". The stretch from base 1 to 119 matches the Rfam family "5.8S ribosomal RNA", at positions 35 to 154 of the family's 154-position model. The record is from RNAcentral.
GAUGAAGAACGUAUCGAAAUGCGAUACGUAAUGUGAAUUGCAAAUUCAGUGAAUCAUCGAGUCUUUGAACGCACAUUGCGCCCCCUGGUAUUCCGGGGGGCAUGCCUGUCCGAGCGUCAUUGCUGCCCUCAAGCACGGCUUGUGUGUUGGGCCCCGUCCUCCGAUCCCGGGGGACGGGCCCGAAAGGCAGCGGCGGCACCGCGUCCGGUCCUCGAGCGUAUGGGGCUUUGUCACCCGCUCUGUAGGCCCGGCCGGCGCUUGCCGAUCAACCCAAAUUUUUAUCCAGGUUGACCUCGGAUCAGGUAGGGAUACCCGCUGAACUUAAGCAUAUCAAUAAGCGGAGGA